AAGCGCAUGUGCUGUGAGCUCGAUGAGUAGGGCGGGACACGUGGUAUCCUGUCUGAAUAUGGGGGGACCAUCCUCCAAGGCUAAAUACUCCUGACUGACCGAUAGUGAACCAGUACCGUGAGGGAAAGGCGAAAAGAACCCCGGCGAGGGGAGUGAAAAAGAACCUGAAACCGUGUACGUACAAGCAGUGGGAGCCCCACCACCAAAGCAUUCUCUGGUGUUGAAGGCCCUGCAAAGCAGCAUCGCGGUGGCGGAGCGUCGUUUGCGACGCCCAACACACAAAACAAGCGGUGAGUGCUUUGGGGUGGGGUGACUGCGUACCUUUUGUAUAAUGGGUCAGCGACUUAUAUUCUGUAGCAAGGUUAACCGAAUAGGGGAGCCGGAGGGAAACCGAGUCUUAAUUGGGCGUUAAGUUGCAGGGUAUAGACCCGAAACCCGGUGAUCUAGCCAUGGGCAGGUUGAAGGUUGGGUAACACUAACUGGAGGACCGAACCGACUAAUGUUGAAAAAUUAGCGGAUGACCUGUGGCUGGGGGUGAAAGGCCAAUCAAACCGGGAGAUAGCUGGUUCUCCCCGAAAGCUAUUUAGGUAGCGCCUCGUGAAUUCAUCUCCGGGGGUAGAGCACUGUUUCGGCUAGGGGGCCAUCCCGGCUUACCAACCCGAUGCAAACUGCGAAUACCGGAGAAUGUUAUCACGGGAGACACACGGCGGGUGCUAACGUCCGUCGUGAAGAGGGAAACAACCCAGACCGCCAGCUAAGGUCCCAAAGUCAUGGUUAAGUGGGAAACGAUGUGGGAAGGCCCAGACAGCCAGGAUGUUGGCUUAGAAGCAGCCAUCAUUUAAAGAAAGCGUAAUAGCUCACUGGUCGAGUCGGCCUGCGCGGAAGAUGUAACGGGGCUAAACCAUGCACCGAAGCUGCGGCAGCGAACGUAUCACUUAAAGCGAUUCAGCGGGUUACGAUUGACGGAGCGAAGCGACGUCAAAGCGUAUACAAAGUCGAGUCGGUUUAAGGAUACGUUCGUUGGGUAGGGGAGCGUUCUGUAAGCCUGUGAAGGUGU
This 1057-nucleotide ribosomal RNA is filed under the name Salmonella enterica. RNAcentral's name for it is "partial 23S ribosomal RNA". It matches the Rfam family "Bacterial large subunit ribosomal RNA", at positions 383 to 1259 of the family's 2925-position model. Lineage: Bacteria; Pseudomonadati; Pseudomonadota; Gammaproteobacteria; Enterobacterales; Enterobacteriaceae. The record is from RNAcentral.